Molecule: ribosomal RNA, 207 nt
Filed under: uncultured bacterium
Lineage: Bacteria
Description: partial 16S ribosomal RNA
Rfam family: Bacterial small subunit ribosomal RNA
Source: RNAcentral
CGUGUAGGCGGCUUGGUAAGUCCGGUGUGAAAUCUUGGGGCUCAACCCCAAGCCUGCACUGGAUACUGCCUCGCUUGAGUCCGGGAGGGGAGAGCGGAAUUCCUAGUGUAGCGGUGAAAUGCGCAGAUAUUAGGAAGAACACCGGUGGCGAAGGCGGCUCUCUGGAACGGUACUGACGCUGAGACGCGAAAGCGUGGGGAGCGAACA